UUUUAUCAAGGAAGAAGAACUGACGGUACUUGAUGAAUAAGCCACGGCUAAUUCCGUGCCAGCAGCCGCGGUAAUACGGGAGUGGCAAGCGUUAUCCGGAAUUAUUGGGCGUAAAGCGUCCGCAGGCGGUUUUACAAGUCUGUCGUUAAAGCGUGGAGCUCAACUCCAUUUCAGCGAUGGAAACUGUAAGACUCGAGUGUGGUAGGGGCAGAGGGAAUUCCCGGUGUAGCGGUGAAAUGCGUAGAUAUCGGGAAGAACACCAGUGGCGAAAGCGCUCUGCUGGGCCAUAACUGACGCUCAUGGACGAAAGCCAGGGGAGCGAAAGGGAUUAGAUACCCCUGUAGUCCUGGCCGUAAACGAUGAACACUAGGUGUCGGGGGAAUCGACCCCCUCGGUGUCGUAGCCAACGCGUUAAGUGUUCCGCCUGGGGAGUACGCACGCAAGUGUGAAACUCAAAGGAAUUGACGGGGGCCCGCACAAGCGGUGGAGUAUGUGGUUUAAUUCGAUGCAACGCGAAGAACCUUACCAGGGCUUGACAUCCUGCGAAUCCCUUGGAAACGAGGGAGUGCCUUCGGGAGCGCAGAGACAGGUGGUGCAUGGCUGUCGUCAGCUCGUGUCGUGAGAUGUUGGGUUAAGUCCCGCAACGAGCGCAACCCACGUCUUUAGUUGCCAGCAUUUAGUUGGGCACUCUAGAGAGACCGCCGGUGACAAACCGGAGGAAGGUGUGGAUGACGUCAAGUCAUCAUGCCCCUUACGUCCUGGGCUACACACGUACUACAAUGCUACGGACAAAGAGCAGCAAACUCGCGAGGGCAAGCAAAUCUCAUAAACCGUGGCUCAGUUCAGAUCGUAGGCUGCAACUCGCCUACGUGAAGGAGGAAUCGCUAGUAAUCGCAGGUCAGCAUACUGCGGUGAAUACGUUCCCGGGCCUUGUACACACCGCCCGUCACACCAUGG
RNAcentral lists this ribosomal RNA (957 nucleotides) under uncultured cyanobacterium. RNAcentral describes it as "bacterial SSU rRNA". It matches the Rfam family "Bacterial small subunit ribosomal RNA", at positions 434 to 1407 of the family's 1533-position model. Lineage: Bacteria; Bacillati; Cyanobacteriota. The record is from RNAcentral.